RNAcentral lists this ribosomal RNA (450 nucleotides) under uncultured bacterium. RNAcentral's name for it is "partial 16S ribosomal RNA". It matches the Rfam family "Bacterial small subunit ribosomal RNA", at positions 354 to 796 of the family's 1533-position model. The record is from RNAcentral.
GUGGGGAAUAUUGCACAAUGGGGGAAACCCUGAUGCAGCCAUGCCGCGUGUGUGAAGAAGGCCUUCGGGUUGUAAAGCACUUUCAGCGAGGAGGAAAGGUUGAUGCCUAAUACGUAUCAACUGUGACGUUACUCGCAGAAGAAGCACCGGCUAACUCCGUGCCAGCAGCCGCGGUAAUACGGAGGGUGCAAGCGUUAAUCGGAAUUACUGGGCGUAAAGCGCACGCAGGCGGUUGGAUAAGUUAGAUGUGAAAGCCCCGGGCUCAACCUGGGAAUUGCAUUUAAAACUGUCCAGCUAGAGUCUUGUAGAGGGGGGUAGAAUUCCAGGUGUAGCGGUGAAAUGCGUAGAGAUCUGGAGGAAUACCGGUGGCGAAGGCGGCCCCCUGGACAAAGACUGACGCUCAGGUGCGAAAGCGUGGGGAGCAAACAGGAUUAGAUACCCUUGUAGUCC